GGGCACGUAGCUCAGCUGGUUAGAGCGCACGAUUCACAUUCGUGAGGUCAGAGGUUCGACUCCUCUCGUGCCGACCA
This 77-nucleotide transfer RNA is filed under the name bacterium. RNAcentral describes it as "tRNA-Val". It matches the Rfam family "tRNA". From Rfam's summary of the family: Transfer RNA (tRNA) molecules are approximately 80 nucleotides in length. Their secondary structure includes four short double-helical elements and three loops (D, anti-codon, and T loops). Further hydrogen bonds mediate the characteristic L-shaped molecular structure. tRNAs have two regions of fundamental functional importance: the anti-codon, which is responsible for specific mRNA codon recognition, and the 3' end, to which the tRNAs corresponding amino acid is attached (by aminoacyl-tRNA synthetases). tRNAs cope with the degeneracy of the genetic code in two manners: having more than one tRNA (with a specific anti-codon) for a particular amino acid; and 'wobble' base-pairing, i.e. permitting non-standard base-pairing at the 3rd anti-codon position. The record is from RNAcentral.